AAAAAUCAAAUCGGCAUCUGGUUAAAUCGGCAUCUAGUCAAAUCGGCACCUAUUUAAAGUCAAUUCGGCACCGAAUUAUAUUUGAUGUAAACUAUAUAAACUUCAAAAAUGUAUAAAUGAUCUUUCUAUUUCUAAUUAUUCUUAGGGUUUUCUCAACAUUCUAUAGAUAAUUCAGACUGUUGUUUUGAUUAGUUUUCUUUUCAAUUAAUAAAUUUUAAGAAUUCACUAGACUAGUCAGGCUAUACAAAUCUUUGUUGAUUGAAAAGUCAACCAAACCAAUGUCUUGCUAUAUUAUUAAAAGAGCUGCAACUCUCUCUCUCUAUAUAUAUAUAUAUAUAUAUUUAUCAUAUGUUUAGUAGUAAAUACAGUAGUUUUGCAUAUUUGAUAAAUAGCCUGCUGUUUAAUCCAUAUCGCGCAACUUUGAUGCGCACCCUUUAUCGCAUACCCUUUAUCACACCCUACCCUUUAUCGCAUACCCUUUAUCACACCUCUACCCUUUAUCACACCUCUACCCUUUAUCACACCCCUACUUUUUUUUUUUC
RNAcentral lists this long non-coding RNA (542 nucleotides) under Mytilus galloprovincialis (Mediterranean mussel). The record is from RNAcentral. Lineage: Eukaryota; Metazoa; Mollusca; Bivalvia; Mytilida; Mytilidae.